CUCUGUCUCUCCCUCUCUCUCUCUCUGCCUCUGUCUUUCUCUCUGCCUCCUCUUUUUGUCCCGGGAAUUUUAUUUUCGCAAAAGCAACAUUACACAGUAUUAAAGGAAAUUUUUAAAGGAGAAAAUUUGCUGAAGGCCCAAGGACAUGAGUCCAGCAGCGAUUUUCCUAUUUUCCGUAUUUUCUUCUGGCCUUGCCCGAUGGUAGCCACAUUGAUGAUGCCAGCUCUGGAGACGGCCUCGCCUCUGUACUGUGUGGUCUGCGUUUUCCACAGAGCUACAGCCUCACACCGACAGCCAUGGCCACACUCCUGUGUGGGCACACGGCUCGCGGCCAUCUUCCCGGUUUCAUCCACGCAGGCUGACAUGUUCGUGCUGUUCCUUGUCCUGGAGAAACGUCUCAGAGGUCCCCGGAGGGAGCUGGCAAAGGUGACAUCAGCAAGGAUUGGGUGUGGGGUAACCUGCCAGGGCCUUUUGGGAGAAUAACCUGACAUUGCCUGUCAUCAGAUGGAAUGCACGCGACCCUGGCUCAGCAAACUGCAAACAGCCUGGAGUCUGCCUGUGGGGAGCGGUCGACCAAUGACGCCUGAGUGGCUGCUGCCUGCGCCAGAGCUGCAGGGGAGGCUCGGUGCUGGGAAGAAUGCACGUUCCAGGGCCCUCUUUCAGCCUCUCUCAAGCCUGAAUUUGGGAAGACUGCGGCCAGUAAGGGCAGCCAACAGGGCCGCCCCCGCCCCCCGCCUCACAGCCCCCGACUCCCUGCCUUCUGGGAACUUCAGGUUUCAAAUUUUAAUUAAUUCAUUUUUUAAAAAUCCACAGGUAAAAAUGCUCCAUAAAAUGUUCCACAUGGUUUCCGGCGCGCGUGCGCUCUGUGAAAUGGCUCGAGAAGCGAUUAGCACGACCAUCCCUCACAUACUUACAUUUUUUUGUGGUGAGAACAUUUAAAGCCCACUCUUUCCAGUUCUUAAGUAUGCAUUAAUAGCUGUAAUCACCAUGUUGUACAUCAGAGCUCCAGAACUUACUCAUCUUAGAGCUGAAACUUUGUGCUCUCUGGCCGGCGUCUCUGCUGCCCCCUCCAGCCCCUGGUAAACACCCUACCGCUCUGGAUUUCAUGAGUUCAACUUGAAUUUUAGCGUCCACGUGUAAGUGAGAGCACGCAGUAUCUGUCUGUCUGUGCCUGGCUUAUUUCACUUGGCAUAAUGUCCUCCACGUUCAUCCAGGUUGUUGCAAAUGACUGAAUCUCAUUCUUUUUUGUUUUUUGAGACGGAGUCUUGCUCUGUCACCCAGGCACCAUCUCAGCUCACUGCAACCUCCGCCUCCCGGGUUCAAGCGAUUCUCCUGACUUAGCCUCUGAGUAGCUGGGAUUACAGGCAUGUGCCACCACGCCCGGCUGAUUUUUGUACCUUUAGUAGAGAUGGGGUCUCACCAUGUUGGCUGGUCUCGAACUCCUGACCUCAGGUGAUCUGCCCGCCUUGGCCUCCCAGAGUGCCGGGGUUACAAGCAUGAGCCACCGCGCCUGGCCUGAAUCUCAUUCAUUUCUAUGGCUGAGUAGUACUCCGCUGUGUAUCUACACUACAUAUGUAAAAUUCACUCAUCUGCCAUCGGACUCUUCCAUAUCUUGGCAGUUGUGGGCAGUGCAGCAGUGAACACGGGGGUGCUGAUGUCUCCCCGAGGUGCAGAGUCCACUUCCCUUGGGUGCCUCCCCAGCAGAGGGAUUGCUGGAUCCUAGGACAGUUGUAUUUUUAAUUUUUUGACGAACUGCCAUAGUGUUUUCCAUAAUGGCUGUACUAAUUUACAUUUCCACCAACACUGCACCAGGGUUCCUCUUGUCCACAUCCUCCCCAACGCUGGCUGGCUUUUGUGUUUUCAUAAUUGCCCUCCUAACAGGUGUGAGGCAAUAGCCCAUUUGGUUUUGAUUUCCAUUUCCCUGAUGAGUGCUGAUGGGACACUUUUGUCAUAUGCCUGUUUCCCAUUAUCCUGUCUUCUUCGGAGAAAUCUCUGUGGAGGUCUUUGACCUGCCUUAAAAUUGAGUUCCUUAUUUUCUUGCUGGUGAGUCCCACAUGUAUCUGGAUGUCCAUUCCUUAUCAAUGUAUGACUGGAAACAUUUUCUCCUGCCCGGAGGAAAUAUUUGUUUUCCUCUGCUUGUUUCCUUUGCUGUGCUGAAGCUGUUUAAUCUGAUGCUGUCUCGCGUGUGUGCGUUUGUGCUGCCUUUGUUUUGAUGUCAUAUUUCCAGGGAUUUCUUAAAAGUGCACCUGCACUCACCGUUGAUGGGAACGCAUGACGGUGCGGCCACUGUGGAAAGCAUUAGGGCUGUUUCUCAAAAAAUUAAAAAUUAAAUUCCA
Homo sapiens (human) is the source of this 2336-nucleotide long non-coding RNA. RefSeq lists it as uncharacterized. The transcript is spliced from 2 exons. Lineage: Eukaryota; Metazoa; Chordata; Mammalia; Primates; Hominidae. The record is from RefSeq and is a predicted model, not a curated record.